GGGUCAGUAGGUUGGUCGUGCCACCGGUACGUACUGGUCUCACUGAUUCCUCCUUCCUGAAGAACCGUAAUGCCAUUAAUUUGGUGUUGCGGGGAAACAGGACUGUUACUUUGGAAAAAUUAGAGUGUUUAAAGCAAGCUAACGCUUGGAUACAUUAGCAUGGAAUAAUGAAAUAGGACGAUCGAUCCUAUUUUGUUGGCUUCUAGGAUUGACGUA
Molecule: ribosomal RNA, 216 nt
Filed under: Glomeromycotina sp.
Lineage: Eukaryota; Fungi; Glomeromycota
Description: partial small subunit ribosomal RNA
Rfam family: Eukaryotic small subunit ribosomal RNA (bases 40-216)
Source: RNAcentral